UCCAGACUGGUGUAAAUGGUAGCAUAAUCGGUUCUCAUUCGGGGGGUGGUAGUUCUGGUUCGAGUCCAGGGUUUGGAC
This 78-nucleotide transfer RNA is filed under the name Stachybotrys chartarum IBT 7711. Its description in RNAcentral is "tRNA-Glu (CTC) (tRNA-Glu-CTC-2-1)". It matches the Rfam family "tRNA". Rfam says of the family: Transfer RNA (tRNA) molecules are approximately 80 nucleotides in length. Their secondary structure includes four short double-helical elements and three loops (D, anti-codon, and T loops). Further hydrogen bonds mediate the characteristic L-shaped molecular structure. tRNAs have two regions of fundamental functional importance: the anti-codon, which is responsible for specific mRNA codon recognition, and the 3' end, to which the tRNAs corresponding amino acid is attached (by aminoacyl-tRNA synthetases). tRNAs cope with the degeneracy of the genetic code in two manners: having more than one tRNA (with a specific anti-codon) for a particular amino acid; and 'wobble' base-pairing, i.e. permitting non-standard base-pairing at the 3rd anti-codon position. The record is from RNAcentral. Lineage: Eukaryota; Fungi; Ascomycota; Sordariomycetes; Hypocreales; Stachybotryaceae.